RNAcentral lists this long non-coding RNA (238 nucleotides) under Musa acuminata (dwarf banana). RNAcentral's name for it is "long non-coding RNA (MACU_LNC010178)". The record is from RNAcentral. Lineage: Eukaryota; Viridiplantae; Streptophyta; Magnoliopsida; Zingiberales; Musaceae.
GAUAUGAACUUGUGGUGAAUAGUUGGAGUUCUGAUUGUAUAAUUUAUUUAGCUUGUGGAUUUAUAAAUGUUGUUCAUGUUUUUCAAGUUGGCUUGGGUUGCUAUAAAUGUGAAUUAUCGAGUGAUGUGAUAUAUGAUUAUAAACUGCACAGGUUUUAUAGAUGUGAAUUUGAUAGAAUGUUUUUCAGUAUCCUCAAAUGUUAGUUUGGAUCCUGGAUUGGUUUGUGAUGAAAAUUUUA